RNAcentral lists this microRNA precursor (82 nucleotides) under Podarcis lilfordi (Lilford's wall lizard). The record is from RNAcentral. Lineage: Eukaryota; Metazoa; Chordata; Lepidosauria; Squamata; Lacertidae.
AGACCAACUAAGUUUGUUCUUGGUAUGAGCUUUUGUGUGCAUGCACACGAAAGCUCGUACCAAGAACAAACUUAGUUGGUCU